RNAcentral lists this long non-coding RNA (892 nucleotides) under Mus musculus (house mouse). Its description in RNAcentral is "long non-coding RNA chr2:169887607-169888499". Lineage: Eukaryota; Metazoa; Chordata; Mammalia; Rodentia; Muridae. The record is from RNAcentral.
CAAAUUAGUCACAUGUAGGCUGCUUCCAAAUCUUGAGCUUAAGCAAGGCUGGAUGCCACCCAAGCUCCUUCAUGGGGUUCCUCUGCUUCCUCUUCUCUCCCCUCCAGCAUGGCACGCCCACGCGCUAGGGAGCCCAACACACAUCCAGACUGAACUCAAGGGCCCAAACCCGAGCGAAGGGUUCUGUACUUUACAGUCCAGCACAUGCCCCCACAGCGUUACGGAAUUGCUCUUAGUUAAUUCACGACAAGGUAUGGAAAGCUUAUCCUAGGAGCCCUCACCACCCACCCCCUCUUCGCAAAGCUUUUACUUUUACCCAGGAAACUUUCGGGUCAAGCUGCACAGGCACAGGCGCUAAGGGAGUUCCAGAUAGAGAAAUGUCCUGUGUGACGCGCUCCUAGCGCUCCUCACAGAGCUAGAGAGCGAGUGGGAAGAUGGGCAGAAAGAAAGGGAAAUAUGUGCUUGACUCGAGACUCUUCCCUCCAGGUGGGAAUCCAUGCUUCUGAUUUGGGUGGGGCCCCCCCAGAGGGCUACCCCUACUGUUUGCAUGCCUUUAUCAUGAUAAUUAAAUGUUCCGGGCAGAUUCACCUCCGGGAUUCCAAGCAUGACUGUACAUCUUACCUUAUUGAAUGGAAAGCUAUUUUGCAUCUGUUGAGCCCAAUGUGAGCUCUGGGUUCUGCCACAUGCUAUUUAUUUACCAUAUCACAUUUUAAAUUUUUAUGUAAUUAGCCAUUAUGCUCUUCUGGUCCUUAAAAAAAAAAAGGUGGACAUACAUAAAGAACCUAGAGACAAGAAGUAUGUUUUAAAUCUAAUAAUUGUGGGUCCAAACCCCGGCGAAGAGAACAAAUAGGUGAUGUUUAUUUUGUGCUAUAAUAAAGACCAAUUUUCCACC